UGAACUUGAAUUGUUCUCUGAGGCCUCUCC
This 30-nucleotide non-coding RNA is filed under the name Rattus norvegicus (Norway rat). Lineage: Eukaryota; Metazoa; Chordata; Mammalia; Rodentia; Muridae. The record is from RNAcentral.